GUGAGUGACUUUGACAAGGCACAAAUAGACAUGGCUAGACAACUGGAGUAUCUCCAAAACAUUAAUACUUGUUGGGUGUUCCCAGUAUGUAGUGGUUAAUACCAACUAAAAGUGGUGCAAGGAAGAACAACCAGUGAAUCAGCAUCAGGUCAUGUGCACCGAAGACUCAUUGAUGCACAUGGGGUGCAAAGGUUAGCCUUUCAGCAUGAUCACACAGAAGACCUGCUGUAGCCCAAAAUUCUGAUCAAUGUAAUGCUGACCAUGAUAUAAAGGUGUCAGAACAUACAGUGCAUCAAAGUUUGCUACGUACAGGCUUGGGUAGCUCAGAUGGAUGGCCAGGUGCGUGUGUGUUGCUUACCUGGGGAGGAG
Non-coding RNA from Pelobates cultripes (western spadefoot toad), 369 nucleotides. Lineage: Eukaryota; Metazoa; Chordata; Amphibia; Anura; Pelobatidae. The record is from the annotation of a GenBank genome assembly.